AUUGAACGCUGUCGGCAUGCUUUACACAUGCAAGUCGAACGGCAGCACAAACUUCGGUUUGGUGGCGAGUGGCGAACGGGUGAGUAAUGCAUCGGAACGUGUCCUGAAGUGGGGGAUAACGCAUCGAAAGAUGCGCUAAUACCGCAUAAUCUCUGAGGAGAAAAGUGGGGGAUCGAAAGACCUCAUGCUUUUGGAGCGGCCGAUGUCUGAUUAGCUAGUUGGUCGGGUAAUGGCCUACCAAGGCGACGAUCAGUAGUUGGUCUGAGAGGAUGGCCAACCACACUGGGACUGAGACACGGCCCAUACUCCUACGCGAGGCAGCAGUGGAGAAUUUUGGGCAAUGGGCGAAAGCCUGAUCCAGCAAUGCCGCGUGAGUGAAGAAGGCCUUCGGGUUGUAAAGCUCUUUCAGUUGAGAAUAAAAAAUUGUGACUAAUACUUGCAAUUCAUGACAGUAUCAACAGAAGAAGCACCGGCUAACUACGUGCCAGCCGCCGCCGUAA
This 500-nucleotide ribosomal RNA is filed under the name uncultured bacterium. Its description in RNAcentral is "partial 16S ribosomal RNA". It matches the Rfam family "Bacterial small subunit ribosomal RNA", at positions 30 to 523 of the family's 1533-position model. The record is from RNAcentral.